AGGAGGUUGGCAGGGUUCGGGCUAAGAUGCAGUAUCCAUGCGCCAUGCCCUGUUUGCAGCCAGCCCAUCCCAAGCGCGGAAGGCAGUGUGGCCGGCUUGAAGGCCCUGAGAACAGCUGGUGUUGGUGACCCUGGAGUGUGGCCAGCUCCAAGGCGGAGCCCCCGUGAGUGCCAGGAGGCUGUCCCAGCUCAGAGGUGGGCCCGGCUGCUGCUCGGGUUCCCAGACCUCUGCACCUCCCCUAGUACUUCACCAACUCCCACCCCCCGGUGGCUGGCAGGCAGCCCCAUGGAAACAGUCUGUUUGAUGAGACGUUACCCCUGGAAGCAGCCUCUGCUGUGGCGCCUUCGCCAGCCUCUCUGUGCAGGGGCGGGCACCCUCACGGCCUAGAAACAAAGACCCUGUCAAAAUGCAAAUGUUGCUGCUACCCAGAGAGAGUAACACAUGAACUUAUUACCAUUCAUUAUCGUCUGAGUGCCGUUUAUCAGCUUCCCAGCUGAGAACAGGGCCCCCGGGAGAAAGAAGGGUGCGGAGCAGAAACCUGCCAUUUCAACCCCAGAGUCACACGGUCUCUGCAAAAAGGAUGAAACUGAUACAGGCCAGACGCUGAGAUUCUCUUAAGGACACAGCGAGAGCCUGACCGCCCCCAGCCGGGCUGCAGGGGCAGUGACUCAGCGGCAGGAGAAUGGCCAAACAAGAACAACGCCGGGGGCGGUCAGAGCCACCCAAGUGUCAGCAGAGAGAAAAACUGUCCGUGAAUGAUCCCAGAGAGACCCACAGCAGACGCAUCGAGGUCCAGGGCUAAAAUCCACCCGGGUGGCCCCGCCUGGCAGGCAGCUGGCCCCACCCACGGGUGGUGGGUGAGGGAACGGGGGAAAUCCCAGCUUCUCUGGGUUGCCUGCCCUGGAAAUUCACAACAGGGGUCCCUACCUUGGCUGGCUGCCCACCCAUGCUCAGCCUCUCCUCCUGAGUCUCUGAGCUCCAAGGAGAUAGGGUUCCCAGGCUUGUACUUAACCUGCUUCUUGUCUCACUGAAUUCUUUUUGUACCUUUUCUGUGAUGAGCUAGCAGGUGCCAUUUAUCCAGCAAGAACUGAUCAGUUUACCAUCUUAAACUCAUUUUCUUGGUUUCUCUUGCUUUCCUUCAUCCGCAUUUGGGUUUCUGAGGUUCACUGCCUCAGCUCAAAGCUGAAGGGAGAUACUUCCAUAAGAUGCUUGCUUCUUGGGGAGAUUUAUAGGACUCAGGGUGACAAGGGAUGGAGUGUUUUAGCAUUUGUACCCCAGCUAUGCUUUGCACCAGACUAGAAGGGAUAUGGCCAGGCACCCUCCUCCCCAGAGUUCCCACCCCCAGAGGUCAAACAUUAAUCACCUCCUGGAAGCCUGUUGCAGGGUUUGUAAUGGAAAUGACUCUGUUGUCAUGGUAACCCUGGCUGGCCUGGCCAGGGGCUGCUCAAGGCCUGCCUGGCUCUUCUGGGUUUCAGGUUUUUUUUUUUUUUUUAAUUUUAUUUUAUUUUUAAACUUUACAUAAUUGUAUUAGUUUUGCCAAAUAUCAGAAUGAAUCCGCCACAGGUAUACAUGUGUUCCCCAUCCUGAACCCUCCUCCCUCCCCAUUCCCUGGGUUUCAGGUUUAUUUUACAAGCUGAGUGCCCCAGCCUGGUAGAUCUUAAGAUCAGCUUCUUGUGAUGAGGGGAAGGCUGUGAGUGACCUAGGCCUAAAUUAGUCGUUAGUCAACAAUGUGAUUCUAAAUCUGGUUCACCCAGUCCAGGAAGAUGAGACCUUUCACUACACCCCUAUCACACUGAGCGUUGAUUGGAUGUGUCCAUAGACUGGCAGAAUUGGGUAUUUUGAAAAAUCCUGGACUUUGGAGCAGACGCACCUGACUCUGCCAGUUAACAGCUGUGUGUCUUUGGGCAAGUUACUGAAACUCUCUGAUCUUCAGAUCCGCCUACCUCUCUAGUCAGGGAUAAUAAUACCUAGUUCACCGUGCAAUCCUUAGACUUCAAUAAGAUUCAAUAAUAAAAUAUGAUUAUAUAAUGUGAGAGUGACAAACCUUUUCAAUACAGGGCCAGACAGUAAAUAUCUUAGGUUUUAUAGGCCACACGAUCUCUGUUGCAACUACUCAAUUCUCUUCUUGGAGUUAAGUAAAGGGUGUAUGAACAAAACUUCAGAGUCCAUCAGCCUCCAGGUGACCCCUUGAUGGGUAGUCUGCAAGGAGCACGCAUUCAGGGCAGGAGGUGUGUCUGAAUGAAUGAUUCACAUCAUGGUCGUGCAGAGAAGGGACUCCAGUGAAGGCCAGCCCUGUGGUGAUCCAGGCGAGGGCAGGACAAGGAAUUUAGGCUGCCACGGGCUCUGCAGGGCCCUGCGUGUCUCUGGGGAGGUGUGCGAGCACCAGGUGACCUAUGUGCUGACCUGUGGUUUGUUACCGCUCUUAACCAAGGCCUUCCUCAAAGAGGUUUGCUGGGAAUGAGGGAAGGGUUCGGGGUACCUAAGCUACUCACAGCACUCUGAUUUACACAGGCUCCAGGAAGUGGGGUUUUCCUGGCCCCUCUAAGAGUGAAGGGGGUUUGAAGCUAUUUUUAAUUUCAAUUCGCAGGUUCCAAACAACCAGGAAGAUGCUCAGCCUUGUUGAGGGUGGGUGCAGGCCUCAGCCCACCUCCUUGUGAGACAGGAGGCCGGGUCCUCGGGGCCAGGAGGCUGAGGGCUGUGUGCGUCUUUCUUUCCAGGGUGCUGGUUCACUGCUGUGGAGCAGAACCCACUUUCAGAGCUCAGGCAGUGACUUUCCAGGCUGGAGACCGAUGGGUCAGGCUGUUGGUGUCAGGGCAUCAUGAGGGAGCUAGAGGUUGGUCCGGUCUAGAUGAGUGACCAUGUGACCACAAGGAAGGUUUCUCCCAUUCAGAGCCUCAGUUUACCUCUCUGUAAAAUUGGCUCAUCCCUGUACCCUGCCCGUCUCUGAGAGGCCCAGGUGUGGGGAGCGAGCUAGCUGCCGGGGCUGUGGGCACAGGCGGUACACGACUCCCCGAGAGUUCUAUUUCUGUGCUUUGUGCUGAUGACUCGGUGUUUUCUCCCAACAAUAGCCUAGCAGCUGUUCCUCCCUGCUCACCCCUGUGGCAUUCCCGUGCAAGGGAGUGUUUCUAGCCUCGCUGACCGCUUCUGGUGCCGCGGGACACUUUCUUCAGCUCCUAAUACCAAAGCCUUACAAGUGUACAGCACUUGACAGUUUACAAAGCAACUUCGGACACCGGACGGGGCUGAUUUCAUCUCCAUAACAACCCUUUGAGGUUGGCUAGGUUGGCAGGUCCAGGUCCCAGUUAGGAAUGAGGAAUCCCAGGUAGAUGGGUUCACCUCGUGCCUGGUCCACGCCACCAGCGGGGUCAGGGCUGGGACGGGGCUGGCUCACCCCCCUGUCCAGGGCCACUGCAUCCAUGUAACCUCUGCCUCUUCAAAACUUCUCUGGAAACCUGGUCCCUGUAGAGACAAACACACAUGAUUGUUCUGCCUUACAUCUAGUUUUUCACUGUAACAAAAAUAUUAAGGAAUACUUUGAGGGCUUCCCUGGUGUCUCAGUUGGUAAAGAAUCUGUCUGCAAUGUAGGAGAUUGCCUGCAAUACAGGAGACCUGGGUUCGAUCCCAGGGUUGGGAAGUUCCCCUG
Long non-coding RNA from Bubalus bubalis (water buffalo), 3643 nucleotides. RefSeq lists it as uncharacterized. The record is from RefSeq and is a predicted model, not a curated record. Lineage: Eukaryota; Metazoa; Chordata; Mammalia; Artiodactyla; Bovidae. The transcript has 3 exons.